GCCCUCAUAGUUAAACGGAUAUAACAGGCCUCUCCUAAGGGCCAAUUGCAGGUUCAAUUCCUACUGGGGGCACCA
Molecule: transfer RNA, 75 nt
Filed under: candidate division WWE3 bacterium RIFOXYA1_FULL_40_11
Lineage: Bacteria; candidate division WWE3
Also listed under: 7 other names
Description: tRNA-Arg
Rfam family: tRNA
About the family: Transfer RNA (tRNA) molecules are approximately 80 nucleotides in length. Their secondary structure includes four short double-helical elements and three loops (D, anti-codon, and T loops).
Source: RNAcentral